CUAAUCAUCUAACACAUACUACAUUUUAAAUGCUUGUAAAAUUCACUAUGUGUUUGGUGUAAUUUUUUACCUUGGUGUGAUGUUUUGAUAACUAUGUAAUUCUCUCUUGGACAAGCUGUCAAUGUUCUACAAGGAAAGAGCCACUUAAUCAACUAUAUAAUCAUUAACCAGAUUACCCCGGAUGCCAGACUUAGGUGUCUAUAGGUGACCAGGGGAUUCUCUCUACUCCAUGCGAAUGCCUCUGUGGAGCUCAUAAGUGUAGCCAUAUAGCCUAAGCCAGCCAUGCCCAACCAGGUGAAGUUAGUGGAGGACCUGUACCCGGCCGAAGACUACAACCCUCUGCCCAGGGGAUCCCACAGAGGUGGCUAAGGAACCGUCUCCAGGGCAAGUUCAGUGGAAUGGCAUAUCUCCAUGAACCUGAGCCAGAACAAGUGCUACCCUUCCUGUCAUCCCUGUCUGUACCGGACAUUGUUUAGAAGCAAGGGAACCUGCGGCUUGCAGGCAUCCUGGCUGGCAUGGCGCUGUCGGUGGAGCAGCAGGAGGCUUUACGGCAGGCAACAGUUGGACAGCGCACCAACCCUAACUGGCACACCAUGAGGGGAGGGAGGUUGACGGCCAGCAGUUAUGGAUCAGUGGUUAGGGCCAAGCCCGUUACUCUGUUGCUGCUAAAAAGGGUCCUCCGAUCAGUCAUUGGAUGGGUUGUUGUAUUAAAGUGGGGCACAGAUAACAAAGAGGGCAUUAAAAAUGGCUACAGGGCUGGAUCUGCAGGAGUCAAGGCUUUGGGUCAUGGAGUCUGGGAUCCUGGGUGCCUCACCGGAUGGCCUGGUGGGCACCACAGCAGUGGUGGAGGUCAAGUGUCCUUAUGGUGCAAGGGAUCUUACCACUGAAGAGGCAGUGAAGUCAAAGGAUUUCUAUAUCAAGGAGGUAGGGUCUUACCACCUCCGUAAAGACCAUUCUUACUGGUACCAGGUCCAAGGUCAGAUCCUCAUCACUGGAAGGGACACCUACUUCUUCGUUGUGUGGACCACCAAAGCCUCCAUCAUCAUCCCCAUCCAGCGUGACAACCUCUGACAGACUCAUAUUCCAACAAUAUCCCACACAGUUCAUACAAACACACUAGGCUCCCAUAAUAGGUUAUAUUACAUACAAAUAAAGUAAUGUGGUUAACUUUAUCAUGGGCACAGUGGGAAUUUAUAAAUGUGAUGCCCCAGUCACCCCUGCCUGUACCUGACAAUGCCCCAGUCACCCCUGCCUGUACCUGACAUUGUUGAAAAACAAGUGAACAAUGAAUAAAGAUCAUACACAAACAAAAGGUUCCUAGAAUAGGUUAUAUUAUUUUCACGUUUUGCUCAAAGCAGCCAACUAAAGUAAUAUAGUUAACUUAAGUUCAUUCACAGGCUGGUCUGAAU
This 1409-nucleotide long non-coding RNA is filed under the name Salmo salar (Atlantic salmon). RNAcentral describes it as "lncRNA (ENSSSAG00000092670.1)". Lineage: Eukaryota; Metazoa; Chordata; Actinopteri; Salmoniformes; Salmonidae. The record is from RNAcentral.